This 497-nucleotide ribosomal RNA is filed under the name uncultured bacterium. RNAcentral's name for it is "partial 16S ribosomal RNA". It matches the Rfam family "Bacterial small subunit ribosomal RNA", at positions 28 to 507 of the family's 1533-position model. The record is from RNAcentral.
GAUGAACGCUGGCGGCGUGCCUAAUACAUGCAAGUCGAGCGAACAGACGAGGAGCUUGCUCCUCUGACGUUAGCGGCGGACGGGUGAGUAACACGUGGAUAACCUACUUAUAAGACUGGGAUAACUUCGGGAAACCGGAGCUAAUACCGGAUAAUAUAUUAAACCGCAUGGUUUAAUAGUGAAAGACGGUUUUGCUGUCACUUAUAGAUGGAUCCGCGCCGCAUUAGCUAGUUGGUAAGGUAACGGCUUACCAAGGCAACGAUGCGUAGCCGACCUGAGAGGGUGAUCGGCCACACUGGAACUGAGACACGGCCCAGACUCCUACGGGAGGCAGCAGUAGGGAAUCUUCCGCAAUGGGCGAAAGCCUGACGGAGCAACGCCGCGUGAGUGAUGAAGGUCUUCGGAUCGUAAAACUCUGUUAUUAGGGAAGAACAAAUGUGUAAGUAACUAUGCACGUCUUGACGGUACCUAAUCAGAAAGCCACGGCUAACUACGUG